GGUUAAGCGACUAAGCGUACACGGUGGAUGCCCUGGCAGUCAGAGGCGAUGAAGGACGUGCUAAUCUGCGAAAAGCGUCGGUAAGGUGAUAUGAACCGUUAUAACCGGCGAUGUCCGAAUGGGGAAACCCAGUGCAAUUCGUUGCACUAUCGUUAACUGAAUACAUAGGUUAACGAGGCGAACCGGGGGAACUGAAACAUCUAAGUACCCCGAGGAAAAGAAAUCAACCGAGAUUCCCCCAGUAGCGGCGAGCGAACGGGGAGCAGCCCGGAGUCUGAAUCAGCUUGUGUGUUAGUGGAAGCGUCUGGAAAGUCGCAGGGUACAGGGUGAUACUCCCGUACACUAAAACACACAGGCUGUGAACUCGAAGAGUAGGGCGGGACACGUGGUAUCCUGUCUGAAUAUGGGGGGACCAUCCUCCAAGGCUAAAUACUCCUGACUGACCGAUAGUGAACCAGUACCGUGAGGGAAAGGCGAAAAGAACCCCGGCGAGGGGAGUGAAAAAGAACCUGAAACCGUGUACGUACAAGCAGUAGGAGCCCACUAGUUGGGUGACUGCGUACCUUUUGUAUAAUGGGUCAGCGACUUAUAUUCUGUAGCAAGGUUAACCGUAUAGGGGAGCCGCAGGGAAACCGAGUCUUAACUGGGCGUUAAGUUGCAGGGUAUAGACCCGAAACCCGGUGAUCUAGCCAUGGGCAGGUUGAAGGUUGGGUAACACUAACUGGAGGACCGAACCGACUAAUGUUGAAAAAUUAGCGGAUGACUUGUGGCUGGGGGUGAAAGGCCAAUCAAACCGGGAGAUAGCUGGUUCUCCCCGAAAGCUAUUUAGGUAGCGCCUCGUGAAUUCAUCUUCGGGGGUAGAGCACUGUUUCGGCUAGGGGGUCAUCCCGACUUACCAACCCGAUGCAAACUACGAAUACCGAAGAAUGUUAUCACGGGAGACACACGGCGGGUGCUAACGUCCGUCGUGAAGAGGGAAACAACCCAGACCGCCAGCUAAGGUCCCAAAGUCAUGGUUAAGUGGGAAACGAUGUGGGAAGGCCCAGACAGCCAGGAUGUUGGCUUAGAAGCAGCCAUCAUUUAAAGAAAGCGUAAUAGCUCACUGGUCGAGUCGGCCUGCGCGGAAGAUGUAACGGGGCUAAACCAUGCACCGAAGCUGCGGCAGCGACGCUUAUGCGUUGUUGGGUAGGGGAGCGUUCUGUAAGCCGUUGAAGGUGGCCUGUGAGGGUUGCUGGAGGUAUCAGAAGUGCGAAUGCUGACAUAAGUAACGAUAAUGCGGGUGAAAAACCCGCACGCCGGAAGACCAAGGGUUCCUGUCCAACGUUAAUCGGGGCAGGGUGAGUCGACCCCUAAGGCGAGGCCGAAAGGCGUAGUCGAUGGGAAACAGGUUAAUAUUCCUGUACUUGGUGUUACUGCGAAGGGGGGACGGAGAAGGCUAUGUUGGCCGGGCGACGGUUGUCCCGGUUUAAGCAUGUAGGCGGAUGUUCCAGGUAAAUCCGGAACGUUACUAACGCUGAGGUGUGAUGACGAGGCACUACGGUGCUGAAGUGACAAAUGCCCUGCUUCCAGGAAAAGCCUCUAAGCAUCAGGUAACAUCAAAUCGUACCCCAAACCGACACAGGUGGUCAGGUAGAGAAUACCAAGGCGCUUGAGAGAACUCGGGUGAAGGAACUAGGCAAAAUGGUGCCGUAACUUCGGGAGAAGGCACGCUGAUGGUAAGUGAAGCGACUUGCUCGUGGAGCUGAAAUCAGUCGAAGAUACCAGCUGGCUGCAACUGUUUAUUAAAAACACAGCACUGUGCAAACACGAAAGUGGACGUAUACGGUGUGACGCCUGCCCGGUGCCGGAAGGUUAAUUGAUGGGGUUAUCCUCACGGAGAAGCUCUUGAUCGAAGCCCCGGUAAACGGCGGCCGUAACUAUAACGGUCCUAAGGUAGCGAAAUUCCUUGUCGGGUAAGUUCCGACCUGCACGAAUGGCGUAAUGAUGGCCAGGCUGUCUCCACCCGAGACUCAGUGAAAUUGAACUCGCUGUGAAGAUGCAGUGUACCCGCGGCAAGACGGAAAGACCCCGUGAACCUUUACUAUAGCUUGACACUGAACACUGGUCCUUGAUGUGUAGGAUAGGUGGGAGGCUUUGAAGUGUGGACGCCAGUCUGCAUGGAGCCAUCCUUGAAAUACCACCCUUUAAUGGCUGGUGUUCUAACGUGGGCCCCUGAUCGGGGUUGCGGACAGUGUCUGGUGGGUAGUUUGACUGGGGCGGUCUCCUCCUAAAGAGUAACGGAGGAGCACGAAGGUCAGCUAAUCCUGGUCGGACAUCAGGAGGUUAGUGCAAUGGCAUAAGCUGGCUUGACUGCGAGCGUGACGGCGCGAGCAGGUGCGAAAGCAGGUCAUAGUGAUCCGGUGGUUCUGAAUGGAAGGGCCAUCGCUCAACGGAUAAAAGGUACUCCGGGGAUAACAGGCUGAUACCGCCCAAGAGUUCAUAUCGACGGCGGUGUUUGGCACCUCGAUGUCGGCUCAUCACAUCCUGGGGCUGAAGUAGGUCCCAAGGGUAUGGCUGUUCGCCAUUUAAAGUGGUACGCGAGCUGGGUUUAGAACGUCGUGAGACAGUUCGGUCCCUAUCUGCCGUGGGCGCUGGAGAAUUGAGGGGGGCUGCUCCUAGUACGAGAGGACCGGAGUGGACGCAUCACUGGUGUUCGGGUUGUCAUGCCAAUGGCAUUGCCCGGUAGCUAAAUGCGGAAGAGAUAAGUGCUGAAAGCAUCUAAGCACGAAACUUGCCCCGAGAUGAGUUCUCCCUGACUCCUUGAGAGUCCUGAAGGAACGUUGAAGACGACGACGUUGAUAGGCCGGGUGUGUAAGCGCAGCGAUGCGUUGAGCUAACCGGUACUAAUGAACCGUGAGGCUUAACCUU
RNAcentral lists this ribosomal RNA (2907 nucleotides) under Klebsiella oxytoca. RNAcentral's name for it is "23S ribosomal RNA". It matches the Rfam family "Bacterial large subunit ribosomal RNA". The record is from RNAcentral. Lineage: Bacteria; Pseudomonadati; Pseudomonadota; Gammaproteobacteria; Enterobacterales; Enterobacteriaceae.